GUACAGUGAUGACAAUCUUAGGACACCUUUGGAGGUAUUGACCCAUGAAAAUAACAUGUUAAAUCUGAGUACG
Osmerus eperlanus (European smelt) is the source of this 73-nucleotide small nucleolar RNA. RefSeq annotates it as small nucleolar RNA SNORD58. NCBI's taxonomy places the organism in Eukaryota, Metazoa, Chordata, Actinopteri, Osmeriformes, Osmeridae. The transcript has a single exon. The record is from RefSeq and is a predicted model, not a curated record.